GGGACCUUGGCGCAGUUGGCUAGCGCGCAGGUCUCAUAGCUUUCUAUGAUCUGGUGAAAUAACAUCAGAGUAAUCCUGAGGUCGGGAGUUCGAGCCUCCCAGGUCCCA
Neurospora hispaniola is the source of this 108-nucleotide non-coding RNA. Lineage: Eukaryota; Fungi; Ascomycota; Sordariomycetes; Sordariales; Sordariaceae. The record is from the annotation of a RefSeq genome assembly.